This is a non-coding RNA of Trematomus bernacchii (emerald rockcod), 489 nucleotides long. The record is from the annotation of a RefSeq genome assembly. NCBI's taxonomy places the organism in Eukaryota, Metazoa, Chordata, Actinopteri, Perciformes, Nototheniidae.
CUAUAAAGACUUGAUAUCAUGCUGUCAGCUGCAGCAGAAGAAGAGAAGCUCCAUCAGGUCACCUUCAACACCAACCAUGUUCUCUGUAGCUCUGCUGCUGCUGCUGGCUGCUGGAUCCUGUGUGAAGUGUGAGCAGUUGAUACAGCCAGCCUCUGUGACUGUGCAGCCAGGUCAACGUCUGACCAUCACCUGUCAGGUCUCUUAUUCCGUUAGUAGUUACUACACAGCCUGGAUCAGACAGCCUGCAGGGAAAGGACUGGAGUGGAUAGGAAUGAGACAAGGUUCAACUACAUACUACAAAGAUUCACUGAAGAGCAAGUUCAGUAUUGAGGUAGACUCUUCCAGCAAAACAAUCCCAUUGUUAGCUCUGACGACAAGAAGCAAUACAGCGACUCUGAACGGACAGAGCGUGCAGCCUGGAGACUCUGCUGUGUAUUACUGUGCCAGAGACACACUGUGACACACACCAUCAGUAGAGCUGAACAAAAA